RNAcentral lists this unclassified non-coding RNA (184 nucleotides) under soil metagenome. RNAcentral's name for it is "partial contains 5.8S ribosomal RNA, internal transcribed spacer 2, and large subunit ribosomal RNA". The record is from RNAcentral.
AACAAGGCGUACCUGCGGACCUGCGGAGGGAUCAUUAUUAAAAUUUUUUACAUUUUAUUGUAAAAAAAAAAAUUGUAUUCAAAACCCCAUACUCUUUAAAAUUCAAAAAAAAAUUUUUUUGUAAAUAAAAAAUUUUUUUUAAAUAAAAAUAAAUAAUAAAAAGACAACUUUUAACAACGGAUCU